Molecule: long non-coding RNA, 3126 nt
Organism: Marmota monax (woodchuck)
Lineage: Eukaryota; Metazoa; Chordata; Mammalia; Rodentia; Sciuridae
Exons: 2
Source: RefSeq, a predicted model, not a curated record
GGGUGCGGGACCACAGCAGGGUAGGGGAAGGGCCUGGACGUGUUCCUCGGGUAUCUGCAUCAGAGACAUGGUGAGAAGGGCGGCAGGAGCCCCCGAGGAAGGUCCUGCCAGAGCAGCGCAGAGGCCUGUGGGCCACGGCCAGUCACUCCAGGACAGGUGCGUGCUCUGCCUCGCGGUCCUCGUGGGGGUGCGCCCCUUGUGGCCAGUGGGCUGGGAUGCAGCUGUCCUUCCAUCUGCACCAAGGAGUGGCCUUCUCCCAGCCAAGGAGCACGCUUUCUUUUUCUCCGUGUGCCACCAUGGCAGAGCCCACAGGAGCAGCAGCGCGGCAGAGGAGGCCUGGCAGAGGAGGCGCUGGUGGCCAUGGUGGGGCCUGGCUGAGUGAGUGCUCCCAGCUUACAGGGCGAGAGGGUCCCGUAGAUGGAUUCCUCCUCUUCUGGGGUCUGGAGAAGGGGAUAAUGCUGGGACUGUGACAGCUCCACCCUUUAUCUCCGCAGCUUCCCACCUCUGUGUGCUGCCAGGGUCCUGGAUGAGAGCCACAGCUGCAGGGUGGGAAGCAGGGACAGUCCCCAGCUUCCACGGCUGCACCACCUCUAUGCUGGGGUGCGGGGUGCUGGGUGCUGGGUGGGCUGUGCCUACACUCUGGAAACACUGGAAUGCCCGGGAGCCGCUGGGCUGCCCCAUGGUGUGACAGCCAGCUGGCUUCAUGCCUGCCACCCUCCUGGUGGGCACGGGAGUGGGCCUGGGGAGGCACAGGCUCAGCUGAGGAUGCCCCUGCCCUGGGGCCAGCGCGGUGGUGGCACUUUCAUCCCCUUCAAGGGCUAAAGCUCAACCAAUGCAGAGGAGGAGGAGGAGGCUAUCUAUGGGUCACACAAUGAGGGAGACCCAGACGGCUUCAAGAGCAAAACAGGAGACAUUGUCAGGACCCCUGGGCAAGCAGAUGCUAGCAAGUGCUGACCUCAGGGAAGAAAACUAACCAACCAGACAGUUAUGGAGAGGGUGUCUUCAUCCCGAGGAAGAAUGUCCUCCUGCUGCAGAUCAGGCAUGGCCAGAGGCCACUAACUUCUCCCAGGGCAACUCCAUGAGUUGAUUUCCUUAACUCUGGGUCCUGUGACUCAGAGGGCAAAUGGAUGUCAGAGCUAUGGUUAGCUUAGGUGGACUGGUGCUCUCCCUGGGAGCUGGGGACAGGUGCCCGGCCCUGAAUUGCAGGCCUCAGUGCCCCAGAUCUGGUGCCUUCUGCUCCUCAGAAGUGGUCAGUGAGGUGAAGAGACAGACGCGGAGUGGGAGAACCCACCUGGAGGACAGCAGACCUCCAGCAACACGUUCGACGGCAUAAACUAGGAACUCCUGCAGACCAACAAGAGAUGCAGGGAACCUGCCAAGAACAAGCAAAGAUCUGAGCGGGCACAUCACAGGGACGGUCAGCUGGGAUGCGAACAGGUGCCCAAUUUGAUUAGCAUCUGGAGAAACACACACCGAAAACCCAAGAAGAUACCCCAGUGGACAAGCACGGAAAGGGUGAAGUCCCUCCCCACUGCCGUGAAUCCGUGCUGUGUUGUCUGUGCUGCUGAAUAGGAUUCCAUCCAGAGGUGAGCCGAGAUUUGCUGCUUUGCUUAUGGUUGAAGGAUGAGGAGUGGAGUAACAGCCUUGGGAGUGGAGGAACAGCUGCUGUACAUUUAACUUUACAAGUUUAUAAGAAACACUGAGCUGCUUUUCUGAGUGAAUGGCCACUGUGUCCACACCAGCAGUGUGGGAGAGCGCCCAUGGCCACACAUCCUGGCCAGCAUUGGGAGCUGCCCGAAGCUGCCGGGUGUUCUGAUGGGUGUGGGGCGGCUCUUCGUGGCUUGACUUGCACCCCCUGGUGGCCACCUGUGAUUUGCAUCUCUCCAGGUGUGUGGUUCUGUCACCUGCCGGUCUCAGCUGGGCAGUCCCUUGCUCUGCCCAUUGGCCUUGGCCUUGCAGGAGUGGGGAGACACUGGCAAGUCAGAGCAUCACCUAUGAGAAUGACAGCCCUCCCCGUCUGUGUCCCCACUCCCAUCUGGGCUCAGUGGUUCUCCAAAAAGUGCACCUCCCAUUUCUUCUGCCACCAGAAAACCACUUUACAGAAUGUCUGCAAGGCAGGUCUGUUGGAGAGAAGGUGCCUGCAGAAGUGGUCUGUCUCUAGGCUGGGGCGUCCCCCUCCCCUGGACCUGAGGGAGAAGCCAGAAGAAGUAUGGUCAGGACGGGGCAGUGUGGCCAGAGAAAGUGUGGCAGGGAAGGAGGCUUGGCCAAAGGCCCAUGCACCUGGACAGGGUGCUGGGUGGUCAGCGCUGAAGCUAGCUGGCUGCAUCUUACCAGGCCACGCGGGGCUGCCCCUCAGCCAGAUGCCGUCUAGCACGUGGGAGUCCUGAUAAUUGGCAGUGUGGGGCGGUUACCCUCAUGGCGGGGUAAUUGGACCCUGGAGUCCCCACAUCUGUGCAUGAGGGAAGGAAGCCAACAGCCUUCCUCCCCAAUGCCUCCUUAAGCAGCCAUCGCUCAGAGUAGGGCCAGCUGCUCUCAGGCCUGGCCGGCCAGUCAGGGAGUCAGUGGGCAGGGAGAAGUCACCUUACGGCUGUGCCGCUGGAGGACGGCCACAGAGACUCCUGCUGCUCUCCAAGGGUGGACACCGAGGACUAGCAGGAAGCAGGUCCAGAGCGGCUCUCCCCUAAAAAGUCUCUGGAGCUUGAGUCUGGAAAUUCCUCAGUCUUCACAGCGUGGGUGGUACAUGUCAUUGGGUAAGUUGCGAGGACUCUUUUUUUUUUUUAAGUUGUAGAUGGACAAAUACCUUGAUUUUGUUUAUUCACUUUUAUGCGGUGCUGAGGAUCGAACCCAGUGCCCCGCACAUGCUAGACGCGUGCUCUACUGCUGAGCCACAGCCCAACCCAAUGAUCACUCUCUGUCCCAUAUUUUUAGGCUAGACAGAGGUCCCACAAGUCUUUACCACAGGAACAGAAGUGACAAUUCUUGUGCCUCAUCAAGGUUGUGGGCAAAUUCGGCUUUUGCAAGACAGAGAACUUAGACCUUAGAGAAAACAGGAAGUGUCAAACCGCACUGAGCUCUUUGCAGACAUUUUUGCUGAUAUUCUGUUAAUAAAAACAAUUAUGGUGAGGG